GACGAACGCUGGCGGCGUGCUUAACACAUGCAAGUCGAACGGAAAGGCCCUGCUUGCAGGGUACUCGAGUGGCGAACGGGUGAGUAACACGUGGGUGAUCUGCCCUGCACUUCGGGAUAAGCCUGGGCAACUGGCUCUAAUACCGGCUAGGUGCCAUUUUUAGUGUGAUGGUUGGAAAGUUUUUUCGGUGUAGGAUGAGCUCGCGGCCUAUCAGCUUGUUGGUGGGGUAAUGGCCUACCAAGGCGGCGGCGGGUAGCCGGCCUGAGAGGGUGGACGGCCACAUUGAGACUGAGAGACGGCCCAGACUCCUACUGGUGGCAGAAGUGGGGAAUGUUGCACAAGGGGCGCCAGCCUGAUGCAGCGACGCCGCGUGGGGGAUGACGGCCUUCGGGUUGUAAACUCCUUUCGCUAGGGACGAAGCUUUUUGUGACGGUACCUAGAUAAGAAGCACCGGCUAACUACGUG
RNAcentral lists this ribosomal RNA (465 nucleotides) under uncultured bacterium. RNAcentral's name for it is "partial 16S ribosomal RNA". It matches the Rfam family "Bacterial small subunit ribosomal RNA", at positions 28 to 507 of the family's 1533-position model. The record is from RNAcentral.